AUGGUAGCUAAAGUUUAAAAAAGAAAAGGUAUAUAUUAGUAUAUUACAGUUACAUUUGAAAGAUCUUCCAUUUCAAAGAUUUUGCAACAAUAUGGAUAACAUCAAGAAUAAUCACAACCCCAUUCCAUUCCAUUAUUACAUUAAAGUAUCUUAGCCCCCCUCUUCAAAUAAAAAGAAAAAAGUGAAGGCAUCUCUUCUCAGGGAAAAGAUUAGCAGUUAUACCUUCAGCAACAAUUGAUAUGAAAAAUAAUCUAAAACAGUAACGCAACCUUGUAUCCAUAAUGUCAUUAAAAUAAUGCAGGCAAAAUGCCUACAUGUCAAUUAGAUUUCUACACAUAGAUCAAGUACUGUCAUGGUUAGUAGGUUCAAAAUAAAAGUGCUCCUUCAAGGAUAAAUGAAUUUUCACCACACUUAAAUAGUUCAAAGAAAUUAGACGCUUUUAAUCCAGUGGACAUGUGUGAACAGGAGCCGUAGACUAAGGAGUUUCACAUUUUAAUCAAAGGUGAAUAUUUUGGAAUGGGGUUUGCCAACAAAAAGCAGGUCUAAAACUCAGUGCCAAAUAUGUACGUGUCGCUCUAAAGCAGAAGCAAAGAUUGUUACAAAAUCCUCAGUGGCAGCAGUAGUACCAGACUCUCUUUCCCUUUUCAUAAAUGUUAAAUUACAAGGCUCACAUCUUAUGCUGUUUACCAAUUUAAAGUAAAACAGAAAAGUUGAACUACAUAGGCUUGAGAAUUAAACAAAAAUGAGGACACUGAUUAAAA
Molecule: long non-coding RNA, 761 nt
Organism: Ipomoea nil (Japanese morning glory)
Lineage: Eukaryota; Viridiplantae; Streptophyta; Magnoliopsida; Solanales; Convolvulaceae
Exons: 2
Source: RefSeq, a predicted model, not a curated record